Molecule: ribosomal RNA, 457 nt
Filed under: uncultured Gammaproteobacteria bacterium
Lineage: Bacteria; Pseudomonadati; Pseudomonadota; Gammaproteobacteria
Description: bacterial SSU rRNA
Rfam family: Bacterial small subunit ribosomal RNA
Source: RNAcentral
GAGAUGUGGGUAGUCCGCACGAGCGCACCUUGAUCCUUAGUUACCAGCGGGUUAGCCGGGAACUCUAAGGAUACUGCCAGUGACAAACUGGAGGAAGGCGGGGACGACGUCAAGUCAUCAUGGCCCUUACGACCAGGGCUACACACGUGCUACAAUGGUAGGUACAGAGGGCAGCUACACAGCGAUGUGAUGCGAAUCUCAAAAAGCCUAUCGUAGUCCAGAUUGGAGUCUGCAACUCGACUCCAUGAAGUAGGAAUCGCUAGUAAUCGCGGAUCAGAAUGCCGCGGUGAAUACGUUCCCGGGCCUUGUACACACCGCCCGUCACACCAUGGGAGUUGAUUGCACCAGAAGUGGAUAGCUUAACCUUCGGGGGAGCGUUCACCACGGUGUGGUUGAUGACUGGGGUGAAGUCGUAACAAGGUAGCCGUAGGGGAACCUGCGGCUGGAUCACCUCCUU